RNAcentral lists this ribosomal RNA (492 nucleotides) under uncultured eukaryote. Its description in RNAcentral is "bacterial SSU rRNA". It matches the Rfam family "Eukaryotic small subunit ribosomal RNA", at positions 324 to 815 of the family's 1831-position model. The record is from RNAcentral.
GACGGCGGGGUAUAGGCCCGCCGCGGUAACGACGGGUAACGGGGAAUCAGGGGUUCGAUUCCGGAGGAGGGAGCCCGAGAAACGGCUACCACUUCCAAGGAAGGCAGCAGGCGCGCAACUUACCCUAAUCUCGAUUCGAGGAGGUAGUGACAAGAAAUACCGAUGCGGGACCCUACGGGUGCCGCGUUCGGAAUGAGUACGAUUCGAACCACCUAACGAGGAACGAUCGGAGGGCAAGUCUGGUGCCAGCAGCCGCGGUAAUUCCAGCUCCAAUAGCGUACGUUAAAGUUGCUGCAGUUAAAAAGCUCGUAGUUGAACGUUCGGGUUCCGCGGGACGGGGCCGCCCCGCGAGGGACGGCGCCGCCCCGGGCUCGUGAUAUCUUAUCUCGCCGCCCGUCGCGAGGCGGACGGAGGGAUGGAUGAGGUUACCUGGAAAAAAUCGGGGCGAUCUAGGCGGGCGGAACCUCGCCAACGAACGAUCGGACAUGGGAU